AUUGAACGCUGGCGGCAUGCCUUACACAUGCAAGUCGAACGGCAGCACGGGGCAACCUGGUGGCGAGUGGCGAACGGGUGAGUAAUGCAUCGGAACGUGCCAUUGAGUGGGGGAUAACGUAGCGAAAGUUGCGCUAAUACCGCAUAUUCUGUGAGCAGGAAAGCAGGGGGACCGCAAGGCCUUGCGCUCUUUGAGCGGCCGAUGUCAGAUUAGCUAGUUGGUGAGGUAACGGCUUACCAAGGCAACGAUCUGUAGCGGGUCUGAGAGGAUGAUCCGCCACACUGGAACUGAGACACGGUCCAGACUCCUACGGGAGGCAGCAGUGGGGAAUUUUGGACAAUGGGCGCAAGCCUGAUCCAGCCAUGCCGCGUGAGUGAAGAAGGCCU
RNAcentral lists this ribosomal RNA (386 nucleotides) under uncultured bacterium. Its description in RNAcentral is "bacterial SSU rRNA". It matches the Rfam family "Bacterial small subunit ribosomal RNA", at positions 30 to 417 of the family's 1533-position model. The record is from RNAcentral.